Molecule: ribosomal RNA, 253 nt
Filed under: uncultured bacterium
Lineage: Bacteria
Description: partial 16S ribosomal RNA
Rfam family: Bacterial small subunit ribosomal RNA
Source: RNAcentral
UACGAAGGGGGCUAGCGUUGCUCGGAAUCACUGGGCGUAAAGCGCACGUAGGCGGCUUUCUAAGUCAGAGGUGAAAUCCUGGAGCUCAACUCCAGAACUGCCUUUGAUACUGGAGAGCUUGAGUUCGGGAGAGGUGAGUGGAACUGCGAGUGUAGAGGUGAAAUUCGUAGAUAUUCGGAGGAACACCAGAAGCGAAGGCGGCUCACUGGCCCGAUACUGACGCUGAGGCGCGAAAGCGUGGGGAGCAAACAGG